UGACCGCCGUGACAAAGUCGCGCACGAG
Molecule: small RNA, 28 nt
Filed under: Bombyx mori (domestic silkworm)
Lineage: Eukaryota; Metazoa; Arthropoda; Insecta; Lepidoptera; Bombycidae
Description: ovarian small RNA-31600
Source: RNAcentral